GAUGAACGCUGGCGGCGUGCCUAAUACAUGCAAGUCGAGCGAACAGACGAUGAGCUUGCUCCUCUGACGUUAGCGGCGGACGGGUGAGUAACACGUGGAUAACCUACCUAUAAGACUGGGAUAACUUCGGGAAACCGGAGCUACUACCGGCUAAUAUAUUGAACCGCAUGGUUCAAUAGUGAAAGACGGUUUUGCUGUCACUUAUAGAUGGAUCCGCGCCGCAUUAGCUAGUUGGUAAGGUAACGGCUUACCAAGGCAACGAUGCGUAGCCGACCUGAGAGGGUGAUCGGCCACACUGGAACUGAGACACGGUCCAGACUCCUACGGGAGGCAGCAGUAGGGAAUCUUCCGCAAUGGGCGAAAGCCUGACGGAGCAACGCCGCGUGAGUGAUGAAGGUCUUCGGAUCGUAAAACUCUGUUAUUAGGGAAGAACAAAUGUGUAAGUAACUAUGCACGUCUUGACGGUACCUAAUCAGAAAGCCACGGCUAACUACGUG
This 497-nucleotide ribosomal RNA is filed under the name uncultured bacterium. RNAcentral describes it as "partial 16S ribosomal RNA". It matches the Rfam family "Bacterial small subunit ribosomal RNA", at positions 28 to 507 of the family's 1533-position model. The record is from RNAcentral.